Molecule: ribosomal RNA, 633 nt
Filed under: uncultured bacterium
Lineage: Bacteria
Description: bacterial SSU rRNA
Rfam family: Bacterial small subunit ribosomal RNA
Source: RNAcentral
CGGCAGCACGGGAGCUUGCUCCUGGUGGCGAGCGGCGGACGGGUGAGGAACACGUGGGAAUCUACCUAUUGGUGGGGGAUAACUUGGGGAGACUCAAGGUAAUACCGCAUUAUCCCUACGGGGGAAAGCAGGGGACCUUCGGGCCUUGCGCCGAUAGAUGAGCCCGCGUCGGAUUAGCUAGUUGGUAGGGUAAAGGCCUACCAAGGCGACGAUCCGUAGCUGGUCUGAGAGGAUGAUCAGCCACACUGGGACUGAGACACGGCCCAGACUCCUACGGGAGGCAGCAGUGGGGAAUAUUGGACAAUGGGGGAAACCCUGAUCCAGCCAUGCCGCGUGUGUGAAGAAGGCCUUAGGGUUGUAAAGCACUUUCAGUGGGGAGGAAGGCUUCUGGCUAAUAACCGGGAGUACUUGACGUUACCCACAGAAGAAGCACCGGCUAAUUUCGUGCCAGCAGCCGCGGUAAUACGAAAGGUGCGAGCGUUAAUCGGAAUUACUGGGCGUAAAGCGCGCGUAGGCGGCUAUUUAAGUCUGAUGUGAAAUCCCCGGGCUCAACCUGGGAAUUGCAUCGGAUACUGGGUAGCUAGAAUGCGGUAGAGGGGGGUGGAAUUCCAGGUGUAGCGGUGAAAUGCGUAG